AUACGGAGGGUGCAAGCGUUGUCCGGAUUUAUUGGGUUUAAAGGGUGCGUAGGCGGCCCGUUAAGUCAGUGGUGAAAGGUAUCAGCUUAACUGAUGAAGUGCCAUUGAAACUGAAGGGCUUGAGUACAGACGAGGUAGGCGGAAUUUAUGGUGUAGCGGUGAAAUGCAUAGAUACCAUAAAGAACACCGAUAGCGAAGGCAGCUUACUAGACUGAGACUGACGCUGAGGCACGAAAGCGUGGGGAGCAAACAGGAUUAGAAACCCCGGUAGUCC
RNAcentral lists this ribosomal RNA (274 nucleotides) under uncultured bacterium. RNAcentral's name for it is "partial 16S ribosomal RNA". It matches the Rfam family "Bacterial small subunit ribosomal RNA", at positions 523 to 796 of the family's 1533-position model. The record is from RNAcentral.